AGCUCCAAUAGCGUAUAUUAAAGUUGUUGCGGUAAAAAAGCUCGUAGUUGGAUUUCUGUUGGACGCUGUCGGUCCGCUCUAUGGGCGUGUAUCAGAUUAGUGUCUGGCAUCCUCGCAGGGAUGGUUUUUGCGCUUAAUUGCGUGAAGCUAGUCUUGCGACUUUUACUUUGAGGAAAGUAGAGCGUUCACGGCAGGCAAUUUGCUUUGAAUAUGUUAGCAUGGAAUAAUAAUAUAGGACCUUGGUUCUAUUUUGUUGGUUUCUAGAGCUAAGGUAAUGAUUAAUAGGGAUAAUUGGGGGGAUUUGUAUCAGGGCGUCAGAGGUGGAAUUCUUGGAUUGCCCUGCGACAAACUACUGCGAAAGCAUUUCUCAAGGAUGUUUUCU
This 382-nucleotide ribosomal RNA is filed under the name uncultured eukaryote. Its description in RNAcentral is "SSU rRNA". It matches the Rfam family "Eukaryotic small subunit ribosomal RNA", at positions 587 to 972 of the family's 1831-position model. The record is from RNAcentral.